Lotus japonicus is the source of this 869-nucleotide long non-coding RNA. RefSeq lists it as uncharacterized. The transcript is spliced from 3 exons. The record is from RefSeq and is a predicted model, not a curated record. Lineage: Eukaryota; Viridiplantae; Streptophyta; Magnoliopsida; Fabales; Fabaceae.
CAUGUCAAGGUACCACCAAUCAGAUUUUCCUCCCUCUCAUUCUCGUCCACUCUCUUUCUCACUUUUGACUUUUCCUUCUUUCUCUUCAUAAUAUCUUUCUUUCUUCUUCUUCUGCAGACUUCUCUUUUUCUUCUUCCUUCUUUCAUUUCUUUUGCUGAAGCACCCACACCACCAUGGUACCUCUCACUCACCUCCCCUUCUCCCCCUCCACAAGAUGCCACCGCUGGUCACCAUCACCAUUUCUUCUUCCUCUCAACACCACCGUCCCUCCUCCUCACCAUGGUUGUUAUGUCCAGCCAAGAGGCCACCAUUAUCACGUCCCUCUUCUUUCUCUCCUUGGCCACCACGAGGAGGCCAGCACCACAAGGAACACGUACAACCCCAUUCAUCAUAUGGUAUUGUUCAAGUUUCAUCAUCCAUAUCAUGACAAGGAGACACCAUCACCAUGCCACUUUACUUCCUCAUGUGGGUACGAAUAAUGGAGACGCAUGGCGACGAAGCCAAAGAACAAACGGAAGUGAGCCAACACGGGAAAGCAAAGAUAUGAUUGGAUUGGAAUUGAGUCGCAACUUAGUAAGGAAAGCGCCUAAGGCAUCGAGAAUAGUGGAGCUUCUCGCAAGGGUUAGUCGGAGGAGCUAGUCUUUUAUUUAUAUUUUAGUUAUAAGAGUCAUGCUCUGUUAUGUAACACGAGGAAGCGUUUAGGAUUGUACCUGGAUGUUAAGAGAUACUACGUGUAUUCUCUUUAUUUAUUUUUGAAUUAUGUUAAAUUCUGGAGUUGAAAUAAAUCCACUGUGCUAUGCAUAUGAUGCUGAGACAUCAAAGUUGAAAUUUUACAUCUAAAUUAUGAGCAUGACAUGUGUUUUGAUUUA